ACGGGUGCGUAACGCGUGGGAACCUGCCUUUCGGUUCGGAAUAAUCCCUGGAAACUGGUGCUAAUACCGGAUGAUCCCUUCGGGGGAAAGAUUUUGCCUGAGGAUGAGCCCGCGUCUGAUUAGGUAGUUGGUGGGGUAAAGGCUCAUCAAGGCGACGAUCCAUAGCUGGUCUGAGAGGAUGAUCAGCCACAUUGGGACUGAGACACGGCCCAAACUCCUACGGGAGGCAGCAGUGGGGAAUAUUGGACAAUGGGCGCAAGCCUGAUCCAGCCAUGCCGCGUGAGUGAUGAAGGCCUUAGGGUUGUAAAGCUCUUUUGUCCGGGAAGAUAAUGACUGUACCGGAAGAAUAAGCCCCGGCUAACUUCGUGCCAGCAGCCGCGGUAAUACGAAGGGGGCUAGCGUUGCUCGGAAUCACUGGGCGUAAAGGGCGCGUAGGCGGACUUUUAAGUCGGAGGUGAAAGCCUGGGGCUCAACUCUGGAAUUGCCUUCGAUACUGGGAGUCUUGAGUUCGGGAGAGGUUGGUGGAACUGCGAGUGUAGAGGUGAAAUUCGUAGA
RNAcentral lists this ribosomal RNA (555 nucleotides) under uncultured bacterium. RNAcentral describes it as "bacterial SSU rRNA". It matches the Rfam family "Bacterial small subunit ribosomal RNA", at positions 102 to 694 of the family's 1533-position model. The record is from RNAcentral.